This 75-nucleotide transfer RNA is filed under the name Romeriopsis navalis LEGE 11480. It matches the Rfam family "tRNA". From Rfam's summary of the family: Transfer RNA (tRNA) molecules are approximately 80 nucleotides in length. The record is from Rfam by way of RNAcentral. Lineage: Bacteria; Bacillati; Cyanobacteriota; Cyanophyceae; Leptolyngbyales; Leptolyngbyaceae.
GGGGAUGUAGCUUAGCUGGUUCAAAGCAUCUGUCUGUCGAACAGAAGAUCGUGGGUUCGAAUCCCAUCAUCCUCG